GCAUAAAUACGAUACCCGCACCGUCACGCAUCGAUUUAUUAAAAUCAAAUAUCAUAUCCGCCCUAUUGCAUCAUUGGUUCGAUUUUUUUCGCCUCAUUUCGUUCGGUUAACCGCGAUUUUCGAUUUUAACGGUUCAAAUUGCUAUCUCUAAUCCAAGGUCUUUAAACUUUCAGCACUUUGCAUUUUGGUUCCAAAAAUCAUAAUUUGUGUACACUUUUGAUCCUUUUUUUCUUAUUCAUGUUCUCCUUCAAUUGGGUAGUUUUAACCUACAGAAGCCAUAUAAAUAAUUGUGAGUAGAAAUUUACCAGAUCAAUCAAUAUUAAACUUAUUUAAGCAUCCAAGAAGUGUAGUUAUCCAAGGUAUGUGUUACGAAUGAAAAACACAUUCAAAAAUAUUUUUCGUCGUUUACCAAUUAUCUUUUUUCUAGUUAACGAGUUUGAUCCCUUUAUUAACUUGUACGGGGCUGAACAUUAUUUUCAGUUAGUUCAAAAUAAUUUAAGUUUACAUUCGGAACAAACAUAGCAACGUUAUGAGAACAAAUUAUAGAAUUGUAUAAUUUGUACUCUGGUUUAAAUUAUAAGAAUUUGAGUUUUCCUGAGUUCAAAAUGUAUGAAAGUAAUAUACUUGAAGCACCAACAUGAGACAAGACAUUAGUAAGUGUUGACCUUUUCAAUACACAAGUGUUGACCUUUUCAAUACACUUCAAUGGUGAAAUGCAUAGCAGUAUCAAAAUCUUGUAUAAUUAUUUAUCGUAGCCCACGAUUUGUUCACACCACCCUUUAUCACUACUAACAAACACGAGGCUUAUCAUAGGAGAUCAUAUGUUAGAUCGAGAUGCAUCAUGUGUCAUAUCAACAUUAUAAUCUGGAUAAAAACACAUUGGUAUACACUAAUGGCUUCAAAAAGAUGAAGGUGGCCUUUCGGCAUCUAUUUAGAUGUGCAAUUACAGAUUUC
Molecule: long non-coding RNA, 954 nt
Filed under: Olea europaea subsp. europaea
Lineage: Eukaryota; Viridiplantae; Streptophyta; Magnoliopsida; Lamiales; Oleaceae
Source: RNAcentral